RNAcentral lists this ribosomal RNA (465 nucleotides) under uncultured bacterium. RNAcentral describes it as "partial 16S ribosomal RNA". It matches the Rfam family "Bacterial small subunit ribosomal RNA", at positions 28 to 507 of the family's 1533-position model. The record is from RNAcentral.
GACGAACGCUGGCGGCGUGCUUAACACAUGCAAGUCGUACGGUAAGGCCCUUUCGGGGGUACACGAGUGGCGCACGGGUGAGUAACACGUGAGUAACCUGCCCACAACUUUGGGAUAACGCUAGGAAACUGGUGCUAAUACUGGAAAUGUGCUCCUGCUUCAUGGUGGGGGUUGGAAAGCUCCGGCGGUUGUGGAUGGACUCGCGGCCUAUCAGCUUGUUGGUGGGGUAGUGGCUUACCAAGGCGGCGACGGGUAGCCGGCCUGAGAGGGUGACCGGCCACAUUGGGACUGAGAUACGGCCCAGACUCCUACGUGAGGCAGCAGUGGGGAAUAUUGCACAAUGGGCGCAAGCCUGAUGCAGCAACGCCGCGGGCGGGAGGACGGCCUUCGGGUUGGAAACCGCUUUCAGCAGGGACGAAGCUUUUUGUGACGGUACCUGCAGAAGAAGCACCGGCUAACUACGUG